RNAcentral lists this ribosomal RNA (460 nucleotides) under uncultured bacterium. RNAcentral describes it as "partial 16S ribosomal RNA". It matches the Rfam family "Bacterial small subunit ribosomal RNA", at positions 338 to 795 of the family's 1533-position model. The record is from RNAcentral.
CCUACGGGAGGCUGCAGUGAGGAAUAUUGGUCAAUGGGCUUACGCCUGAACCAGCCAAGUCGCGUGAGGGAAGACUGCCCUAUGGGUUGUAAACCUCUUUUGUCAGGGAGCAACGCCGGCUACGUGUAGCCUUCCUGAUAGUACCUGAACUAACAGCCUCGGCUAACUCCGUGCCAGCAGCCGCGGUACUACGGAGGAUGCGAGCGUUAUCCGGAUUUAUUGGGUUUAACGGGUGCGUAGGCGGAAUGCCAAGUCAGCGGUAAAAUCGCGGGGCUCAACCUCGCUCCGCCGUUGAAACUGGUGUUCUUGAGUGGGCGAGAAGUGUGCGGAAGGCGAGGUGUAGCGGUGAAAUGCGUAGAUAUCACGCAGAACACCGAUUGCGAAGGCAGCAUACCGGCGUCCAACUGACGCUGAAGCACGAAAGCGUGGGUAUCGAACAGGAUUAGAUACCCUUGUAGUC